UACGUAGGGGGCAAGCGUUGUUCGGAAUGACUGGGCGUAAAGGGUGCGUAGGCGGUGUAGCAAGUUAGAAGUGAAAUACCUAGAGCUUAACUCAGGUGCUGCUUCUAAAACUGCUAUACUUGAGUGCAGUAGAGGAAAGUGGAAUUCCUAGUGUAGCGGUGGAAUGCGUAGAUAUUAGGAGGAACAUCAGUGGCGAAGGCGACUUUCUGGACUGUAACUGACGCUGAGGCACGGAAGUGUGGGGAGCAAACAGG
This 254-nucleotide ribosomal RNA is filed under the name uncultured bacterium. RNAcentral describes it as "partial 16S ribosomal RNA". It matches the Rfam family "Bacterial small subunit ribosomal RNA", at positions 524 to 776 of the family's 1533-position model. The record is from RNAcentral.